This 717-nucleotide ribosomal RNA is filed under the name Pseudomonas sp. RNAcentral's name for it is "bacterial SSU rRNA". It matches the Rfam family "Bacterial small subunit ribosomal RNA", at positions 24 to 736 of the family's 1533-position model. Lineage: Bacteria; Pseudomonadati; Pseudomonadota; Gammaproteobacteria; Pseudomonadales; Pseudomonadaceae. The record is from RNAcentral.
UCAGAUUGAACGCUGGCGGCAGGCCUAACACAUGCAAGUCGAGCGGAUGACGGGAGCUUGCUCCUUGAUUCAGCGGCGGACGGGUGAGUAAUGCCUAGGAAUCUGCCUGGUAGUGGGGGACAACGUUUCGAAAGGAACGCUAAUACCGCAUACGUCCUACGGGAGAAAGCAGGGGACCUUCGGGCCUUGCGCUAUCAGAUGAGCCUAGGUCGGAUUAGCUAGUUGGUGGGGUAAUGGCUCACCAAGGCGACGAUCCGUAACUGGUCUGAGAGGAUGAUCAGUCACACUGGAACUGAGACACGGUCCAGACUCCUACGGGAGGCAGCAGUGGGGAAUAUUGGACAAUGGGCGAAAGCCUGAUCCAGCCAUGCCGCGUGUGUGAAGAAGGUCUUCGGAUUGUAAAGCACUUUAAGUUGGGAGGAAGGGCAGUAAGUUAAUACCUUGCUGUUUUGACGUUACCGACAGAAUAAGCACCGGCUAACUCUGUGCCAGCAGCCGCGGUAAUACAGAGGGUGCAAGCGUUAAUCGGAAUUACUGGGCGUAAAGCGCGCGUAGGUGGUUUGUUAAGUUGGAUGUGAAAGCCCCGGGCUCAACCUGGGAACUGCAUCCAAAACUGGCAAGCUAGAGUACGGUAGAGGGUGGUGGAAUUUCCUGUGUAGCGGUGAAAUGCGUAGAUAUAGGAAGGAACACCAGUGGCGAAGGCGACCACCUGGACUG